Homo sapiens (human) is the source of this 483-nucleotide long non-coding RNA. NCBI's taxonomy places the organism in Eukaryota, Metazoa, Chordata, Mammalia, Primates, Hominidae. The record is from Ensembl.
UCUGAGCCAGUUCCAGCCCGGCCCAGAUGUUGGCCCCUGACAACUAGCUGUGGCUGGUGCGGAGGGAGGAGCGAGGGAAGAGGGGCAGAUCGAGGCUGCCAGAAACAUAUGAAGCUCAUUUCUGCCACCCUUCCUAGAAAACUGGUUCCUGACAGAGACAUGUGGAAAGGUAUCUGCACAAGAAAAAGUGAAAACAUAUGUCCAAGCAAGGAUUGUUUACAAAUGUGCAUAGCAGUUUUGUUAAUAAUAGCCCCAAACUGGAAACAAUCCAAAUAUUCAUCAACAGACGGAUACAGUGUAGUAUAGUGAAACAAUGGACUAGCAUUCAACUAAAAGGAGCAAGCUACUAAUACAUGUAGCAAUGUGCAUAAAUCGCAAAAACUAUGUUGUGUACAAGGCAAACACAAAUGAGUACAUACUAUAUGAUCCCAUGUAUAUAAAAUUCUGGAAAAUGCAAACUAAUAUAAAGUGACACAACCUAAA